Molecule: ribosomal RNA, 425 nt
Filed under: uncultured prokaryote
Description: bacterial SSU rRNA
Rfam family: Bacterial small subunit ribosomal RNA
Source: RNAcentral
UAAGAAUAUUCCGCAAUGGACGGAAGUCUGACGGAGCGACGCCGCGUGGAUGAAGAAGGACGAAAGGUUGUAAAGUUCUUUUGCUAGGGGAGAAUAAGUGAGGGAGGGAAUGCCCUCAUGAUGACAAGGACUAGCGAAUAAGCCCCGGCCAACUACGUGCCAGCAGCCGCGGUAACACGUAGGGGGCGAGCGUUGUUCGGAAUUACUGGGCGUAAAGGGCAUGUAUGCGGCUUGGUAAGCCUGGCGUGAAAGACUGCAGCUUAACUGUAGGGAUGCGUUGGGAACUGCUUAGCUUGAGUUACGUAGAGGGAGCUGGAAUUCCUGGUGUAGGGGUGAAAUCUGUAGAUAUCAGGAAGAACACCGAUGUCGAAGGCAAGCUUCUAGUCGAUAUUGUCGCUGACACGCGAGAUCGUGGGUAGCAAACA